GCUGGCUGCAGUGGUGUGUGCCUGUAAUCCCAGUGACUUGGGAGGCUGAGGCAGGAGGAUUGCAAGUUUGAGAUCAGCCUCCCAACUUACAGGAACCAUAGCAACUUGGCAAGACCCUGUCUCAA
Molecule: small RNA, 125 nt
Filed under: Marmota monax (woodchuck)
Lineage: Eukaryota; Metazoa; Chordata; Mammalia; Rodentia; Sciuridae
Source: RNAcentral